UAGAGAUGCUAAUAAAGCCGAUAUGGUGAACAAGCUACUUCUUCGUGGUCCUUUUGAUAAGAAAGUAAUCCAGUGGUUGCUUACACUACAUUAAAUAGGUCUUGAUGUUAUUCGCACCGACAGGACUUUAGUAUUCUAUGA
Hibiscus syriacus is the source of this 141-nucleotide long non-coding RNA. RefSeq lists it as uncharacterized. Lineage: Eukaryota; Viridiplantae; Streptophyta; Magnoliopsida; Malvales; Malvaceae. The transcript is spliced from 2 exons. The record is from RefSeq and is a predicted model, not a curated record.